This 1000-nucleotide ribosomal RNA is filed under the name uncultured bacterium. RNAcentral's name for it is "bacterial SSU rRNA". It matches the Rfam family "Bacterial small subunit ribosomal RNA", at positions 356 to 1376 of the family's 1533-position model. The record is from RNAcentral.
GGGGAAUAUUGCACAAUGGGCGCAAGCCUGAUGCAGCAACGCCGCGUGAAGGAAGACGGUUUUCGGAUUGUAAACUUCUGUUCUUAGUGAAGAAUAAUGACGGUAGCUAAGGAGCAAGCCACGGCUAACUACGUGCCAGCAGCCGCGGUAAUACGUAGGUGGCAAGCGUUGUCCGGAAUUACUGGGUGUAAAGGGAGCGCAGGCGGGUGAUCAAGUCAGCUGUGAAAACUACGGGCUUAACCCGUAGACUGCAGUUGAAACUGUUCAUCUUGAGUGAAGUAGAGGUUGGCGGAAUUCCGAGUGUAGCGGUGAAAUGCGUAGAUAUUCGGAGGAACACCGGUGGCGAAGGCGGCCAACUGGGCUUUAACUGACGCUGAGGCUCGAAAGUGUGGGGAGCAAACAGGAUUAGAUACCCUGGUAGUCCACACUGUAAACGAUGAUUGCUAGGUGUGGGGGGUCUGACCCCUUCCGUGCCGGAGCUAACGCAAUAAGCAAUCCACCUGGGGAGUACGACCGCAAGGUUGAAACUCAAAGGAAUUGACGGGGACCCGCACAAGCAGUGGAUUAUGUGGUUUAAUUCGAAGCAACGCGAAGAACCUUACCAGCACUUGACAUCCAACUAACGAAAUAGAGAUAUAUUAGGUGCCCUUCGGGGAAAGUUGAGACAGGUGGUGCAUGGUUGUCGUCAGCUCGUGUCGUGAGAUGUUGGGUUAAGUCCCGCAACGAGCGCAACCCUCGCCAUUAGUUGCUACGCAAGAGCACUCUAAUGGGACCGCUACCGACAAGGUGGAGGAAGGUGGGGACGACGUCAAAUCAUCAUGCCCCUUAUGUGCUGGGCUACACACGUAAUACAAUGGCCAUCAACAGAGAGAAGCAAUACCGCGAGGUGGAGCAAAACUUCAAAAAUGGUCUCAGUUCGGACUGCAGGCUGCAACCCGACUACACGAAGCUGGAAUUGCUAGUAAUCGUGGAUCAGCAUGCCACGGUGAAUACGUUCCCG